Hypomesus transpacificus is the source of this 678-nucleotide long non-coding RNA. RefSeq lists it as uncharacterized. The transcript is spliced from 3 exons. Lineage: Eukaryota; Metazoa; Chordata; Actinopteri; Osmeriformes; Osmeridae. The record is from RefSeq and is a predicted model, not a curated record.
AAGUACUUCUCUUGUUAGAGAACCACGGAAAUCUUGGCAGAACACUGAAUUAACAGACAAAACAAGACAAAAAAGAGCGCACCUAGCAACUGAGACAGCCUUCAUCGGCGCCAUCUUGGAACCCUUCAUCGGCGCCAACUUGGUCAGAAAGCAACAAUCGUCCAGGAAGAAGAUACAUUCCCGAAUUGACAUUUAUUAACCACAUGGUACACAGGCACACUGUUUGGCCCCUAGCGCACAAACAAAACCGUCUCUUGUUAAACCCAGACGUAACAGAAAGAACAGACGCUAAACCUGUUCUUAACUUUGAAUGCUCCAUCCCCCUGCCCAACCACUCUCUAUGCCCCUUCGCCAACCACCAGGAUGCAAGGGCAUUCAACAUUCUGGGCAUUCCUGUGAUUAGCAGACAGCAAGUUGAUCGGCACGUCGGACCCCGCGAACACUACUGGGUUCACUUCAAACAUUAAAAGAAAGGAUGAGAUAGCAGACUUCUUCAAAAAGCUGAGCAAACAAGAUCAGGUGGAAAUAGACCCCAGUCCUUGCACCACCCCAAGACCUCAGAGCAGCUCCCUACCCAAGGCUACAGGCACCAGGUGAUGGGCUACCUGAGUAGCUGCCAGGGGGCAUCCCUGGAGCAGUGUGGACCGGGGGCAUGCCAGGCUGGGUCGCAGGUGGGAU